AGUGGGGGGAGAGCAGGGGGCCCCUCAUGAAGUCCAUGAUCAUCUCCACAGUUUGAGCAUGUGUAAAGCUCCAGCAAGCGUCCAGUAAUGUCAUUCAAGUAGGCCAACACCAGUCUCUCAAAUCAACCCAUUCUCACUCCAAAGGCGUCAAAAACCGAAGCAUGGUCAAGCGCCCCUAGCGUCACUUUUAUGACGCCAAAUGUGCCUCUCGGCGUCGAAUAUCGAAGCACUACGACAUUCAUUGCUUUCAAUGGGAAACUUUUGGCGUCAGAAUUCGACACGAGGACAUGAGAUGUUUAUCGCUAUGAAAUCACGUUCAAGAAGUCUCAUUCAGCACACAUCGCGAUACUUGCUAUCAGUUCCACAGUUUGGCUGAAAAGACAUAAAGGCAGUCAGCCCAGUGGUGUUUCUGGAGAGGGAUUCCUUCAGAAAUGGAGAAGACAGAAAGCUGCGGAGGCAGAUAUAUGCAGCAGUCUAAAAUAUCAAGCUCAACAACUCACUCAAGAGCCAACCCUCACAAACCUUCCUAAAAACUAAAAGAGCUAUUACUGAGUCUCAGCGAAUCUUGCCAUGAUCAGCUCUUCCCAGAAGAGAAGGAAGACCAAGGAAAUGAUUUGCUCAGGAUGAGGAAUGAAGAUGGCCAUCUUGUGCUCAAACAAACAGAAGUCCUCUGAUGAUCUCAUCAGCCAAAUGAGGGGUUUUGACCAAGUGAUGCUCUUGAAAGGAGUGAAAGAAGAGGAUGUGCUAAAUUCUCUUCAGAGAAAAAGCUUCUCAAAAGGUCUUAAAACAGCUUGAAGAAUGGUCUGGGAUGUUAGGACUGAGAGAUCCUCUGGCUGAGAACAAGCUACACCACAUCAGUGCUGGACAUCAACCACAAACUGUUUCCAGACACGAGAGAAGAAGAACACGAUGGGGAGAUGAAACCAGUUUAGAUGUGAUGAUGGGAAUCAUUAUUUUCUGGAACAGUAUCUCAUGUCUUAUAUGUAUCACAUGAUCUGUAUCACAGUUGACUGGAUGGGACUGUGUGACUUUUAAGGACAUUUCAUCACUCAUCUGUGUGAACUGAUUUAUAUAUGAGGUUAAUGUAUCUUUGAUGAUAAUUAUUUUCAUUGAAUCUUAUUUGUCUUGAUGCUACUUUAUCAACUUUAUAGUCUAUGCUUCAAUAAAAUGAAAAUGGUGAA
Long non-coding RNA from Carassius gibelio (silver crucian carp), 1181 nucleotides. RefSeq lists it as uncharacterized. Lineage: Eukaryota; Metazoa; Chordata; Actinopteri; Cypriniformes; Cyprinidae. The transcript has 6 exons. The record is from RefSeq and is a predicted model, not a curated record.